This 446-nucleotide ribosomal RNA is filed under the name uncultured bacterium. RNAcentral's name for it is "bacterial SSU rRNA". It matches the Rfam family "Bacterial small subunit ribosomal RNA", at positions 29 to 521 of the family's 1533-position model. The record is from RNAcentral.
AACGAACGCUGGCGGCAGGCCUAACACAUGCAAGUCGAGCGCCCCAGCGAUGGGGAGCGGCGGACGGGUGAGUAACGCGUGGGAACGUACCCUUUGCUACGGAAUAGCCUCGGGAAACUGGGAGUAAUACCGUAUGUGCCCUUCGGGGAAAGAUUUAUCGGCAAAGGAUCGGCCCGCGUUGGAUUAGGUAGUUGGUGGGGUAAUGGCCUACCAAGCCGACGAUCCAUAGCUGGUUUGAGAGGAUGAUCAGCCACACUGGGACUGAGACACGGCCCAGACUCCUACGGGAGGCAGCAGUGGGGAAUCUUAGACAAUGGGCGCAAGCCUGAUCUAGCCAUGCCGCGUGAGCGAUGAAGGCCUUAGGGUUGUAAAGCUCUUUCAGGGGGGAAGAUAAUGACUGUACCCCCAGAAGAAGCCCCGGCUAACUCCGUGCCAGCAGCCGCGGU